RNAcentral lists this ribosomal RNA (496 nucleotides) under uncultured bacterium. RNAcentral's name for it is "partial 16S ribosomal RNA". It matches the Rfam family "Bacterial small subunit ribosomal RNA", at positions 28 to 506 of the family's 1533-position model. The record is from RNAcentral.
GAUGAACGCUGGCGGCGUGCCUAAUACAUGCAAGUCGAGCGAACAGACGAGGAGCUUGCUCCUCUGACGUUAGCGGCGGACGGGUGAGUAACACGUGGAUAACCUACCUAUAAGACUGGGAUAACUUCGGGAAACCGGAGCUAAUACCGGAUAAUAUAUUGAACCGCAUGGUUCAAUAGUGAAAGACGGUUUUGCUGUCACUUAUAGAUGGAUCCGCGCCGCAUUAGCUAGUUGGUAAGGUAACGGCUUACCAAGGCAACGAUGCGUAGCCGACCUGAGAGGGGGAUCGGCCACACUGGACCUGAGACACGGUCCAGACUCCUACGGGAGGCAGCAGUAGGGAAUCUUCCGCAAUGGGCGAAAGCCUGACGGAGCAACGCCGCGUGAGUGAUGAAGGUCUUCGGAUCGUAAAACUCUGUUAUUAGGGAAGAACAAAUGUGUAAGUAACUAUGCACGUCUUGACGGUACCUAAUCAGAAAGCCACGGCUAACUACGU